ACGAAAUGAGAUUUCUCUUCAAAUCUAGAACAUGUCGAACCUAGCCAAGUGUUCUCAAUGUCCCAUCCUGAAACCGUAAUUUGACUUGACCAAUUCCAACAAUACGGUAACACUGGUUGUUUCCUAUCACAACUCCACCUUACUGAACAGCCUCAUAUAUUUGAAAUAAAUUCCUAUCGAAACACAUAUGGUGCGAACAUGCCGAAUCAAGAAUCCACUCUUCGUUAGGCCUAGAUUCCACAUCAGAUAUCACGGUCAACAUCACCUCUUCGCUAUCCAAACAAUUCUCAACUACAUUGAUUUCGUCUGAAUUCACAUGUUGCGUUCCAUGAUUUGUAGCUAAACCCUUUGCAUGCAACUCAUCGCAAUUCUUCCGAAUAUGAAAAGAGUUUUCCCAUCCCUUGAUGUAGCUCCAACUAGAUGCUUCAUCUUCUCCUUUGAGUGUAAAGCCUCAUAAACAUCUUCUACAGUCAAAGUGUCUCGACUAUAUAAGAUAGUAUCCCGAAACGAUGCAUAAGACCCAGGCAGCGAACACAACAGGAUCAAGACAGGAUCCUCUUCAUCAUACUUAACUUCCAACGUCUCCAAAUCUGCCACCAUUUCCUUGAACACGGCAACAUGGUCUUCCAAAGACUCUCCUUUCGCCAUGCGAUGGGAAUACAGCUUCUGCUUAAGAGCUAGUUUACUUGUAAGACUCUUGGUCAUACACAACUGCUCCAACCUUAACCACAUAGCAGCUGCAAUUUUCUCCUUCAAGACAUCCUGCAGAAUGUUGUUGGACAGAUGAAGAUGAAUCAAUGAUGUAGCCUUUCGAUCCUUCCGUUGUUUCUCCUCCAUUGUCCAUCCAGCUGGCAUCCCGUCAAAAUCCAGCAACGCAUCUUCCAAAUCCAACUGCGCCAAAACAACCCUCAUCUUUACUUGUCACAAAGAAAAUCUUGUACUGCGAUCUAAUUGCGGAAUAUCAAACUUCAACCCAGCCAUCUCCAAAAAAUCUCAAACAAUCCACAGGAAAUCAAUAGCCAAGCUCUGAUACUACUUGUUGGGCACGGAAACUCCAAAAACACGAGUUGAUUCCAACGAAUUAUAGAGAAUGAGAUUAUAAUGACAAUUAUGAAGUAAAUUAGAUUACAUGACGAAAAACAAGAUUUAAUUGUAAAAGAGGAACAAAGAAAAAUUAACGCAGAGGAAGAAAGUUUUUAUUGAACAAUAUGGAGAAUACAAGCCAAUCAGCUAAUUGCUGCCGAUAAUACUAUCUAGAGGAGCCUCUAAUUUAUGGUGCAUGGCCAAUACCCUAAAGGAAUCACAAAAGGCAUGAAAUUCUAUCAAAAUAAGGUUAAACGCGUAAAAUUGGAAAAAUUCGCCGACUUCCCAAAAACCGAAUCAU
Molecule: long non-coding RNA, 1384 nt
Filed under: Olea europaea subsp. europaea
Lineage: Eukaryota; Viridiplantae; Streptophyta; Magnoliopsida; Lamiales; Oleaceae
Source: RNAcentral